CGCUGUUAUGUGUGCCAGACAAAUCUCAUAUGACCACAAAAUUCAUGAGCAGUCAUUUGAAAUCAAUAUAAUUUUAACCAUGCAGAGAUUGAAUAUGAAAAUUCAUAUAUCAAGCAAGGCUGUAAUGACUAUACAGCUGAAGAGCCAAUCACCACAUUCUACUGUAUUUUUCCAUUAAUGAUCACAAAUGCAUCUAGAAAACCAAAUUAUGCGGAUUCAGUUUGAGAUAAUGAAGUUAGGCAAAACCUUUUUAGUUCCACUAGGAGUUG
Molecule: unclassified non-coding RNA, 269 nt
Filed under: Hevea brasiliensis (rubber tree)
Lineage: Eukaryota; Viridiplantae; Streptophyta; Magnoliopsida; Malpighiales; Euphorbiaceae
Source: RNAcentral